This 301-nucleotide ribosomal RNA is filed under the name uncultured bacterium. RNAcentral describes it as "partial 16S ribosomal RNA". It matches the Rfam family "Bacterial small subunit ribosomal RNA", at positions 509 to 807 of the family's 1533-position model. The record is from RNAcentral.
CAGUAGCCGCGGGAAUACGUAGGUGGCAAGCGUUGUCCGGAAUUAUAGGGCGUGAAGGGCUUGCAGGCGGUUUCUUAAGUCUGAUGUGAAAGCCCCCGGCUCAACCGGGGAGGGUCAUUGGAAACUGGGAAACUUGAGUGCAGGAGAGGAGAGUGGAAUUCCACGUGUAGCGGUGAAAUGCGUAGAGAUGUGGAGGAACACCAGUGGCGAAGGCGACUCUCUGGUCUGUAACUGACGCUGAGGAGCGAAAGCGAGGGGAGCGAACAGGAUUAGAUACCCCAGUAGUCCCUGUCUCUUAUAC